ACAAAGGCAGUGAAAAGGAAUAGUAGGUAUUUACACACAUCCAGAGAGGAGGCCGUUUGGUGAGAGGUUUCCGUGUCCCUGAAUACUGAACCGGCCUUGGAGCCCCGCAUGAGGAAUGCGGCGUAUCCCGGCGUUAACGGAUCAUGAGGUGAGCGGGCAGAAGGAACCGGGAAAAUUCCCGAAGGAGCCGGACGCGCCGCUAAAUUGGGUGGUACCGCCGAGCGUUUCGGUCCCUUUU
This 238-nucleotide non-coding RNA is filed under the name Lachnoclostridium sp. Its description in RNAcentral is "T-box sequence". It matches the Rfam family "T-box leader". From Rfam's summary of the family: Uncharged tRNA acts as the effector for transcription antitermination of genes in the T-box leader family. T-boxes are found upstream of many aminoacyl-tRNA synthetase genes and some amino acid biosynthetic genes usually in Gram-positive bacteria. The record is from RNAcentral. Lineage: Bacteria; Bacillati; Bacillota; Clostridia; Lachnospirales; Lachnospiraceae.